RNAcentral lists this ribosomal RNA (495 nucleotides) under uncultured bacterium. Its description in RNAcentral is "partial 16S ribosomal RNA". It matches the Rfam family "Bacterial small subunit ribosomal RNA", at positions 28 to 507 of the family's 1533-position model. The record is from RNAcentral.
GACGAACGCUGGCGGCGUGCCUAAUACAUGCAAGUCGAACGCUGAAGGAGGAGCUUGCUCUUCUGGAUGAGUUGCGAACGGGUGAGUAACGCGUAGGUAACCUGCCUUGUAGCGGGGGAUAACUAUUGGAAACGAUAGCUAAUACCGCAUAACAGUAGAUGCUGCAUGACAUUUGCUUAAAAGGUGCAGUUGCCUCACUACCAGAUGGCCCUGCGUUGUAUUAGCUAGUUGGUGGGGUAACGGCUCACCAAGGCGACGAUACAUAGCCGACCUGAGAGGGUGAUCGGCCACACUGGGACUGAGACACGGCCCAGACUCCUACGGGAGGCAGCAGUAGGGAAUCUUCGGCAAUGGACGGAAGUCUGACCGAGCAACGCCGCGUGAGUGAAGAAGGGUGUCGGAUCGUAAAGCUCUGUUGUAAGAGAAGAACGAGUGUGAGAGUGGAAAGUUCACACUGUGACGGUAGCUUAACAGAAAGGGACGGCUAACUACGUG